RNAcentral lists this non-coding RNA (45 nucleotides) under Schistosoma mansoni. The record is from RNAcentral. Lineage: Eukaryota; Metazoa; Platyhelminthes; Trematoda; Strigeidida; Schistosomatidae.
AUCCAGCUGACAAGUCUCAAAUAGGACGAAGUUGGCGUCCUGGAU